Long non-coding RNA from Anas platyrhynchos (mallard), 999 nucleotides. RefSeq lists it as uncharacterized. NCBI's taxonomy places the organism in Eukaryota, Metazoa, Chordata, Aves, Anseriformes, Anatidae. The record is from RefSeq and is a predicted model, not a curated record.
UGUACGUGGCUACAGGCUUGUUCCUGCCUCAUCUUUGGCAGGCCCCAAACAGACUAUGAAGCUGGUUUGCUCCUUCCUUGUGUCUGGGGCUGUUCAGUGGGACCUGCUACCAGCACCUGGCUGUGUUUGGAUGCUUUGGGACUGUGACCCAGGUUGGCAAGGAUGCUGCCUGCACUGGGGCCACCCCUGGCUUGCCAUCACUACGAGAGCAGUAAGGCCUGGCUGCUCCCUGACACCUCUUCCAUAGCGGUCGGUGUAGGAAUCUAAAAAAACGAUGGGGACAGAUGGAUCCUAACUGACAUUAUUUGAAGUGUAACAGAAGCAGAACAAAGCGAGGAUACUGUGAGAAAAGAGACAGUCCACCCCAUUGUCUGCUCAUUUGUCAAGGCACGAGCCAAACCACUUCAUUUCCUCUCCAUCCGUGAUAAUAGUGAAGGUUCUGAGAUCUUCGCUGCUUUAAUUAUAGUGAAAUGUGCAAUUCCUUCACCAGCCAACAGACAGCAAGUCCCACCUCAUGCGGCAGUCAAGAACUACCUGCUCUUUCAUGGUGAGCAUUUACUGUGCUUGAUGAACUGGAGGAGCACGUGUUUGGAAAGCCAAGCCUGGGCCACAGGCCGCACACAAAAUUUGGGUCUUAGGGUGUGAAUACUGAGGCUGAUACCUUUCAUAGGCUGUGCCCUUGUGCUAGGAAGGUGACAGCAGCUAUCUUUUUUCCCUUUGUGCAAAUUUUCUGCAGUUUACAGGCAGGUUGCCAGAGUAAGUCCUCCAGUUGAAGUAGGUUGCAAAUAACAGCACUCUUGUUAGAAUAUGUAGCAAAUUGGUUUAUUCUAGUCCUUAAUCUACAUAAUUAGGGUGGAAAUGAGAGUAAUAAAUAUACUUAAGUGUUUGGAAAUGACUUUCUUCCUGAAGAUUUUUCACAGGAUGGAAAUUAGGAUUAAUUCUAGAGGAGGAGAACUGACCUUAAAAGGCCCAUUGUAAUUGACCUUAAAGCCACAAUUC